RNAcentral lists this ribosomal RNA (460 nucleotides) under uncultured bacterium. RNAcentral's name for it is "partial 16S ribosomal RNA". It matches the Rfam family "Bacterial small subunit ribosomal RNA", at positions 338 to 795 of the family's 1533-position model. The record is from RNAcentral.
CCUACGGGAGGCAGCAGUGAGGAAUAUUGGUCAAUGGACGAUAGUCUGAACCAGCCAAGUAGCGUGAAGGAUGACUGCCCUAUGGGUUGUAAACUUCUUUUAUAAAGGAAUAAAACGCAGCACGUGUACCUUUUUGCAUGUACUUUAUGAAUAAGGAUCGGCUAACUCCGUGCCAGCAGCCGCGGUAAUACGGAGGAUCCGAGCGUUAUCCGGAUUUAUUGGGUUUAAAGGGAGCGUAGAUGGGUUGUUAAGUCAGUUGUGAAAGUUUGCGGCUCAACCGUAAAAUUGCAAUUGAUACUGGCAGCCUUGAGUACAGUUGAGGUAGGCGGAAUUCGUGGUGUAGCGGUGAAAUGCUUAGAUAUCACGAAGAACCCCGAUUGCGAAGGCAGCUUACUAAACUGUGACUGACACUGAUGCUCGAAAGUGUGGGUAUCAAACAGGAUUAGAUACCCCGGUAGUC